RNAcentral lists this long non-coding RNA (1789 nucleotides) under Salmo salar (Atlantic salmon). RNAcentral's name for it is "lncRNA (ENSSSAG00000064099.2)". Lineage: Eukaryota; Metazoa; Chordata; Actinopteri; Salmoniformes; Salmonidae. The record is from RNAcentral.
UUAGAUUUGAGAAGGGUCAGUGCUAUCCGGGAUCAUUGGGAAGUCCCUACAUCAUUGAAGUGGACAUUUAAAACGGUUAAUGGUAAGGUUAAGGUGAGGGUUUAGUGUAGGGACGUCCCAAGGACCCCGGAUAGCAUUGGCCGUUUGAGAAGUGCGCUCCUCUCACUGCUUUUGCCGGUUCACUGUAACGGGCCAUAGACCUGUGCACCGCAUAUCAGGUUAAUAGAACGGCCUCAAAAGCGAUUAAGGAAAGUUUCCAACCGUGUCACGGCGGUCAAAGCACCUAUUUCCCCUAAAACCUUUGUCGCGUUAAAAAAAAAAAAGGCAAUUCGGAUGCAUCCGUCUUCAGUGCGUCCACGACAACUGGGAACUCGGAAAGAAAUAGCUCCGACUGAGUAAAAUCGUUUUGAACGGUCAUCCAAAGAAAAUCACUGACGUCAUGAUUUGACCACGUUUUGUACGAGUUACCAGUUGACUUGAAAGCACCAUACAUUCUCGGAGCUACACUAGAGGACACGGUUAUCGGUAAUAUUACAGCAACAAAGCCAUCCGGACGCGUGGAGGCAAACUGAGAAUGACUACCACAUGAGCGAGAAUACCGGGGAGAGGCUCAUUUAACGGUAUUUCUCCGGUAUAGGCUAAGCGGUAGAGUCUACAGACAAAAAUAGAAGACAAUAUGAUAAGCAGAUCAUCUUUUGCUGACUCGAAUAUUCUACACACUGUCAGUCAACAACAAUAGAAUGUAGUUUUAUAUGUCCUAUUCUCUUCACGUUUCCUGCUAUUGUUCAGUAACAACGAUACUACUGCUGCUGACUCGUCCUCUGGCUUUGCAGCAUCCAAAGCAGAUCACUCAGGGGAUGAGGGCUCUUUGGCGCAGUCCGUGAGAGAUGAGGUGAAAGCUGGAUUAGUUAAAUAAGGACCCUCGGUAAAUCUUACGGAGAAACAGGGGACAGUAGCGGGGCUAACCUCUGCGGACAAACCGGAGGAGGACAGUGAAUGCCGAUUCGUGGGGAAGAUAACGGAUCCGGUGGCAGCGGACAGGAGGACAGUUUGGGAGGAGGGGAUCCACGCUGCUGAAGUUAGGAUCCACGCUGGCGCGCACGAGGAAAAUGUGAAAUCUGGCAUGGUGAGGGCAGCAGAGUGGACACUCAGAUUCGUAAACCUUUGUGAUUUUCCCAGGGUGCAACGGGAGCAGCUGGCAGCCAUCUUCCAGCUGCUGAAGGAGAACCAGGAGAUGUUUGGGGAGAUGUCAGAGGGAGACAUGGAGGAGCAACUCUACUCCAUCUAAACCCCUAGUCUACUCACAGUCGACUGUACUACGUCUAACUCUACUUUUCCCAAACUCUACUCUAUGUUAAUCCCACAUAAAACUGACAAUCAAGACCAAGGUGCAUUCACACGGUCCACUGGGUUUCAAAGGGGGUGUUGUUUCAAAGGUCCACUCUAUUUUGAGGCACAUACUCUUCUCUAAAGAUUCUGAGGUGAUAGCUAAUCAGGCUUUGGAUAGUUGGGCCUGAGUGAUUUGAUUGGUCUGGUAAAAUCUGAGGUUCUUAUACCGUAGACACCCAUGAAAGCCAACAGUUUCAGCAAGCCUCACAUCAAACACUUAUCUGGACAGAUCUUACUCCUUUCAGCUAUUCCUUGCCUUGCCUCGGCCGUAUCCUUAUCUCACCCUUUCCUAUGGAGCACCCUUUCCCUCUAGACCCCUCUGUUUGAACAAACACAUCAUUGGUGCGAACACAAACAUGUACGUUAGAUACUUCAACACGGCUUCUGCUGUUUAUUACUU